This 584-nucleotide ribosomal RNA is filed under the name Debaryomyces macquariensis. RNAcentral's name for it is "eukaryotic LSU rRNA". It matches the Rfam family "Eukaryotic large subunit ribosomal RNA", at positions 51 to 651 of the family's 3401-position model. Lineage: Eukaryota; Fungi; Ascomycota; Pichiomycetes; Serinales; Debaryomycetaceae. The record is from RNAcentral.
CGGAGGAAAAGAAACCAACAGGGAUUGCCUUAGUAACGGCGAGUGAAGCGGCAAAAGCUCAAAUUUGAAAUCUGGCACCUUCGGUGUCCGAGUUGUAAUUUGAAGAAGGUAACUUUGGAAUUGGCUCUUGUCUAUGUUCCUUGGAACAGGACGUCACAGAGGGUGAGAAUCCCGUGCGAUGAGAUGCCCAAUUCUAUGUAAAGUGCUUUCGAAGAGUCGAGUUGUUUGGGAAUGCAGCUCUAAGUGGGUGGUAAAUUCCAUCUAAAGCUAAAUAUUGGCGAGAGACCGAUAGCGAACAAGUACAGUGAUGGAAAGAUGAAAAGAACUUUGAAAAGAGAGUGAAAAAGUACGUGAAAUUGUUGAAAGGGAAGGGCUUGAGAUCAGACUUGGUAUUUUGCGAUCCUUUCCUUCUUGGUUGGGUUCCUCGCAGCUUACUGGGCCAGCAUCGGUUUGGAUGGUAGGAUAAUGACUAAGGAAUGUGGCUCUGCUUCGGUGGAGUGUUAUAGCCUUGGUUGAUACUGCCUGUCUAGACCGAGGACUGCGUCUUUGACUAGGAUGCUGGCAUAAUGAUCUUAAGCCACCCG